This 436-nucleotide ribosomal RNA is filed under the name uncultured Anaerolineaceae bacterium. RNAcentral's name for it is "bacterial SSU rRNA". It matches the Rfam family "Bacterial small subunit ribosomal RNA", at positions 931 to 1378 of the family's 1533-position model. Lineage: Bacteria; Bacillati; Chloroflexota; Anaerolineae; Anaerolineales; Anaerolineaceae. The record is from RNAcentral.
AGCGGAGCGUGUGGUUUAAUUCGAUUGCUACACGAAGAACCUUACCUGGGUUUGACAUAGAGGUAGUAGGGAAGCGAAAGCGACGACCUUCGGGAGCCUCUACAGGUGUUGCAUGGCUGUCGUCAGCUCGUGUCGUGAGAUGUUCGGUUAAGUCCGCUAACGAGCGCAACCCUCGCUGUGUGUUACAAGUGUCACACGGUACUGCCGAUAUUAAGUCGGAGGAAGGUGGGGAUGACGUCAAGUCAGCAUGACCUUUAUAUCCAGGGCUACACACACGCUACAAUGGCCAGUACAAUGGGUUGCCAAGCCGCGAGGCGGAGCCAAUCCUAAAAAGCUGGCCUCAGUUCAGAUUGCAGUCUGCAACUCGACUGCAUGAAGUUGGAGUUGCUAGUAACCGCAGGUCAGCAAUACUGCGGUGAAUACGUUCCCGGGGAUU